RNAcentral lists this long non-coding RNA (899 nucleotides) under Nicotiana benthamiana. RNAcentral describes it as "long non-coding RNA (NBEN_LNC041497)". Lineage: Eukaryota; Viridiplantae; Streptophyta; Magnoliopsida; Solanales; Solanaceae. The record is from RNAcentral.
UUUCAGCCAACAAAAAUUCCCCAAAUACUCUCUAAUUACAGAUUCAAAAGGAGAUCCGAAAUCUGAAAUUUCCUUUAGAAUUUUAAGCUUUUUCUACAGAAAAAUCGAAAAAAACAAAAACUUUGAAAAACCAAAAGAAAAACAUUGUUCCAUUGCUUUUUCUGUUAGAUUAUUUUUCGAUUCUAGUUCAAUUCUUUAAUCCUUUUAAAAAACCAAAAAUAGCUCGAAAUAUGAUGUUUUUGUUCAAGAUUUGAAGUUUGAAAGUCACUGGAAUCAUUUGAGCACUAGUAUUGGGUUACUCGAGUGGGCUGUGGGUUGUUUGAGUUGGCUGUGGUUUGCUGGGUUUGUUUCUGAGCAUUUUAGCACUGUUUUUGGGUUAUUCUGUGAUCCUAUUUGGUUUUGAAACAGUUAUGAGGCUUAGAGCUUGUUUCUGAACUGCUGCUGCUUGGUUAUUACAUCAGCUGACCUCUUCUCUUUUGUUACUUCGCAUUUCCUGGUACACACUCGAAAUUCUGCUGUAACUCCAAGCUUGAAAUGGAAUAAAAUUUCCUAUCUGUUUUGAUCCUGAGAUCUGCCUGCUAGUUGUUACAUAUUCAUCGUUAAAUAGAUAUUAUAUGUGUUGUUUAAUAUAGUUAUGUGUCAAUUGGUUGUGUAUAAACUUUGGACUGUAUGGACUGUCACUAUUACUCUUGAUUGAAUUUCAUAAGCAAGAAUCGACGUAAUUAUUUUUUAGCCAAAUUAUAGAGUGAUCUGAUUUCAGGCAUGCUUCAGUUAAAAGUGUUAGUUUCAUAAUAGGUUAAUGGCAUCGUUUCGUAAAGGAUUUGUUAAAUCGUUUAUGAUUUGUAUGAGUAAUAGGACAUAACGUUAACAUCAUACUCACAGCUUAGGUUCAAUUGACA